RNAcentral lists this non-coding RNA (195 nucleotides) under Enterococcus faecalis 13-SD-W-01. Its description in RNAcentral is "6S / SsrS RNA". It matches the Rfam family "6S / SsrS RNA". Rfam says of the family: E. coli 6S RNA was the first non coding RNA to be sequenced, but its function was unknown until recently. The record is from RNAcentral. Lineage: Bacteria; Bacillati; Bacillota; Bacilli; Lactobacillales; Enterococcaceae.
GUAAAUCUGUGAUGUGCGAGUUGUCCUCUUUGUGUGUUGACCGAACAUUUUUAUUGAUAUAUUGGGACCCGUCUUGUGUCAAUGCUGGUAACAUGCCUUUUCUUUUGGUAGUUCGAAGCUCCGACCGUGGGACCCACCUGCUUGAAUUUGCGGGAUCAAUACUACAGGACGAGUAACGGCAUUAACGGAUCUUAC